GAUUCCAGCCCAGCGACGCGCCGCGUGGCCGGGAGUGCAGACAGGUCACCGGUCCCCGGGUGUCUGGACCGCGCCGCUUCCUACUGGGCUUACUUCGGGAUCUAGACUUCGGCCUCCGUCCUUGCAAGGGCCCAGAUUUGAUUCCGGUUCGUCGAGGCGGUCUGUAGCAGAUAAAGGGCCCAUUAAAAAGCUGGACCCUGUGGGCCUUCGGUGCCAGAGGAAGCGAGAAGAUGGCUCGGGAGUCAGUCCGGAGGCAGGAGGCCCAUUUCGGGUGGAGGCCAGAGGUCUAGCUGCUCGCACUUCAUUCCGGUAGUGGUAGUGUUAGCACGAAGCAUGUCCACGCUGUUUUCCCCGCCUGGGCUACACCCACACAAAGGAGCUGGUCAUCUAUCUUCUGAGGCAUCUUCCUUCUCUCGGGAUUCUAUUUGGGUAGCUCUCUUCAAUUCCCCAAACAGAACAACUGUUAGUAUUUCACAAAGGCCUUCAGUACAUCUUUAUUAAUCUGACUGCCUGGUUGCAGUUACAUUUGAGAAUAAGACUGAGAUCAAAUUCCACGUUUAGAGUGAGAAAUGACUGCAGUUGAAGACUUGGUUGCAAGAGUCUAAGAAGACACCUCAGGGAGAGAGACAGGAUCCAAAACAAGAUUGCUGGCUGAGGAAUGGGACAAGUCACCAGCUCAGAAGUCUCAGGACCAGCGACAUCAAGAGCAGGAAGUGGCCAGUGCCUCAACUUCACUCCCCUCUCCCUCCUGGAACAGGCCCUCCAUCACCGUAGAUAAUUCAUGUCACUGAAUGGAACAUGUAAGCCAUCUCACUUCUUUUUGUCUUCACAAAUGCUUUAAACACAGGCUUGGAAAAUCUGUGGGCUUCUCACACGUUCUCAGAUAUAUUCCUUUGCACCUAACUGGAGUGAAAUGAUAUGGUGCUCAGUGGAAGGAAUCUGGUUGUGCCAGCAGAGGUUGGGGCUAUGGAACCAUGUAACUGGAAGCAAGCAGUGAAAGAAACCUGGAAACUCCUGUCACCCUGUGCCUCAGUGCAGGCUGGCUCAGCAGCAUCAACUUAAUGUUCUGUGUGGGAUGCUAGCACAUUUGUGUUUGGAGCCUGGUAAUUAGAUUGUGAGCAGGAGGCAAAAUCCCAGCAAUCUGGUGGCAUGGACAAAUCUUGGUGUCAGAAGGCAUGGUGUGUUGAGGCUUAACAAUCUCAGCUCUAUUUUUGUCUAUCACCCCUUUGAUACAUGUCAAAAAA
RNAcentral lists this long non-coding RNA (1244 nucleotides) under Homo sapiens (human). Its description in RNAcentral is "HSALNT0022329". Lineage: Eukaryota; Metazoa; Chordata; Mammalia; Primates; Hominidae. The record is from RNAcentral.